RNAcentral lists this ribosomal RNA (360 nucleotides) under Triticum aestivum (bread wheat). RNAcentral's name for it is "partial small subunit ribosomal RNA". Lineage: Eukaryota; Viridiplantae; Streptophyta; Magnoliopsida; Poales; Poaceae. The record is from RNAcentral.
AUGGAUCACAACCCACAAAUCAUCUGUUGGAACAUGAGAGUCUUAAACAAUCCAGCCAAGAGAAAGGUAGUUAGGGAGUUUAUUGCUUCUUUGAAAGUCAACAUUGUAUGCUUACAAGAGACCAAGUUGGAGAUUGUGGACCAGUUUUUAGCAAUGCAAUGUCUAGGGCCAUCAUUUGAUGGUUUUGCUUACUUGUCGGCGGUGGAGACGCGUGGUGGUAUCUUGCUCGGUUGGGAUUCUACAAUCAUGUUCGUCGACAACUUACAGUUUGAUGCUAACUUCUUAACCGGCAAAGUCUGUCAACUAGAUGGAAACGAGUGGUGGAUCUUGGUGGUGUAUGCCCCUAAGGAGAUGAGCUAA